This 445-nucleotide ribosomal RNA is filed under the name uncultured Coriobacteriaceae bacterium. RNAcentral describes it as "bacterial SSU rRNA". It matches the Rfam family "Bacterial small subunit ribosomal RNA", at positions 338 to 795 of the family's 1533-position model. The record is from RNAcentral. Lineage: Bacteria; Bacillati; Actinomycetota; Coriobacteriia; Coriobacteriales; Coriobacteriaceae.
CCUACGGGAGGCUGCAGUGGGGAAUCUUGCACAAUGGGCGAAAGCCUGAUGCAGCGACGCCGCGUGCGGGAUGAAGGCCUUCGGGUUGUAAACCGCUUUCAGCAGGGACGAGGCGAAAGUGACGGUACCUGCAGAAGAAGCCCCGGCUAACUACGUGCCAGCAGCCGCGGUAAUACGUAGGGGGCAAGCGUUAUCCGGAUUCAUUGGGCGUAAAGCGCGCGUAGGCUGCCCAGUAGGUCGAGAGUUAAAUCCGGGGGCUCAACCCCCGUCCGCUCCCGAUACCGCUGGGCUUCGAGUCUGGUAGGGGAAGGUGGAAUUCCCAGUGUAGCGGUGGAAUGCGCAGAUAUUGGGAAGAACACCGGUGGCGAAGGCGGCCUUCUGGGCCAUGACUGACGCUGAGGCGCGAAAGCUAGGGGAGCGAACAGGAUUAGAUACCCCGGUAGUC